GAGUUUGAUCCUGGCUCAGAUUGAACGCUGGCGGCAGGCCUAACACAUGCAAGUCGAGCGGUAGAGAGAAGCUUGCUUCUCUUGAGAGCGGCGGACGGGUGAGUAAUGCCUAGGAAUCUGCCUGGUAGUGGGGGAUAACGCUCGGAAACGGACGCUAAUACCGCAUACGUCCUACGGGAGAAAGCAGGGGACCUUCGGGCCUUGCGCUAUCAGAUGAGCCUAGGUCGGAUUAGCUAGUUGGUGAGGUAAUGGCUCACCAAGGCGACGAUCCGUAACUGGUCUGAGAGGAUGAUCAGUCACACUGGAACUGAGACACGGUCCAGACUCCUACGGGAGGCAGCAGUGGGGAAUAUUGGACAAUGGGCGAAAGCCUGAUCCAGCCAUGCCGCGUGUGUGAAGAAGGUCUUCGGAUUGUAAAGCACUUUAAGUUGGAGGAAGGGCAGUAAAUUAAUACUUUGCUGUUUUGACGUUACCGACAGAAUAAGCACCGGCUAACUCUAGUGCCAGCAG
Molecule: ribosomal RNA, 510 nt
Filed under: uncultured bacterium
Lineage: Bacteria
Description: bacterial SSU rRNA
Rfam family: Bacterial small subunit ribosomal RNA
Source: RNAcentral